Maniola jurtina (meadow brown) is the source of this 1720-nucleotide long non-coding RNA. RefSeq lists it as uncharacterized. The transcript is spliced from 2 exons. The record is from RefSeq and is a predicted model, not a curated record. NCBI's taxonomy places the organism in Eukaryota, Metazoa, Arthropoda, Insecta, Lepidoptera, Nymphalidae.
AAAAUUUAUAUAGAUUUGGUCAAGUUUUCUUUAAAAUUACUAUUUUCUAAAUUCAACAAUGAUUCUAAUUUUUACCUACUUCAAAAAGUAGGAGGUUCUCCAUUCAUCAGAAUCUUUUUUUUAUGUAUGUUCCCCGAUUAAUGUACAAAAUCUCUAAAUUAAAUUUUAUUAAGAGGCCUAUAAAAAUAAGUGUCAUACUUUUCACAAGGCCUUGUAUGUAGAAUUAAUUAUACUGCUACAUUUUUGUUUGUUAAAUCCGUCAGUGUGUUUGUGUGUAAAUAAACGCUUGUUUUUCAAUUUUAUUUAACACCCACUGUCGAGAUUUUUCAUAAUUACUUUGAUAUAAAUUCGUUAAUACUGUCCCUGCGAAAUUCGUUUGUGCGUAGGAUCAAAUAAAACUAUGUUCUGGUAACCGAGAUUUAUAUUUGCAACAUAAUAAAUUAUUUAAAUAUACUAAAACAAUUCAAUAAUAAAUACAAACUAGAUAAAGGCAUUUGUUGUAUACAAUUAACUAAAAUGUAAGUCAUUAUAGUGUAAAAAUUAUUUUAAAAAAUCUAUAGCACUUAAGGGUGCCUACUGCAUAGGCGAAACUGAAUGUGUUAAGAACAAACAGAUUUUUAAUAAAUAUUUAGUGAAUCUAUCUAUAAUCUGAUUGGUAUGCUUACAUCUCCGCCUUGCCUCGCUUGAAUUGAUAGACACCCUUAGGCCAAGAUUUGAUUGCUCUAGUGUUAAUCUUCUAUAAUAGUGUUAUAGAUAUUUUGCCUAUGGCCUAUUCUAAUACUGGGCUCAAAAGUAUUAGUAAAAGCAAGCAGCGGAUUUCCAAAAGCCUCAGAAAAUAUCAUGCCCAAUAGGGCCUCUUGUUCCACAUUAUUUGAACACACAAUUUGUUCGAAAAUGGCAGUGUUACCACACGAAAAAAAACUAUUUUUUUUUUGUUACAUAGGAAUCAUUAACUAGUGUUGCCAGUAUUAUUACUAUUGUAUAAUACAUAUUCUUUGAAAAAAUUAAGCCUAUAAAACUGUAAAAAAUGUAUUCGUAUAUUAGUAUAUUUAGGAAUCCUCUAUUAUCAGUAAUAUGAAAUGAUUGUUUUGUAUAUAAAAUUAUUCUGGAAGCGUGACCUAUACAUUAAUAUUUCGACAUAGAAGCGUAAAUAUAAAUAUUUAUUUUAAAAAUGUUUUGCUGAUCCAUAAUCGUAGGAUGAAUUCUGUAAGCAACAUCUUUUCCAAUUUAGUGAGUUAAAUGCUAUUAUCGCGGUGCCAUUCAAACUAAUUCAGAGCUGCCAUAUCAAUAAAUGCAAAAUAUUUAAAUAGCAGUAUAAUUGCGAAAAUAAAUCAAAAUCGAUUUUUUUAUUUGACCACAUAUUAAGGUUAGAUUGAGACCAAACGUCGAGCCUAUGGUUAUGUGCACGAUUGGUACCUACAUAUUAGUAUAUAUCCACUUCUGAAGUCGGACAUAUUACUAUUAUUAAAUAACAUUUCUUAAUAAGAGGGCACAGCCUUAAACACACUCAUUAUAAAUUCACGUUCACUGGUAUCACGAUAAAAAAUGGCGGCCUCAACACAACCCAAAACACAACAGCUGUCCUAUUUGGCGGCCAUUAUAAAUACGUAACAUUUGUAAUAACCGAAUUCCGACUAUCCGAAAAAUCCCUAGUUACUAACAAGUCGCGUCUGUUGAAGUUUUACUUCAAAAAUAUCGCUUAUACAAUCCAAAAUAAUAU